RNAcentral lists this ribosomal RNA (460 nucleotides) under uncultured bacterium. Its description in RNAcentral is "partial 16S ribosomal RNA". It matches the Rfam family "Bacterial small subunit ribosomal RNA", at positions 338 to 795 of the family's 1533-position model. The record is from RNAcentral.
CCUACGGGGGGCAGCAGUGAGGAAUAUUGGUCAAUGGACGAGAGUCUGAACCAGCCAAGUAGCGUGAAGGAUGACUGCCCUAUGGGUUGUAAACUUCUUUUAUAUGGGAAUAAAACGUUCCACGUGUGGGAUUUUGUAUGUACCAUAUGAAUAAGGAUCGGCUAACUCCGUGCCAGCAGCCGCGGUAAUACGGAGGAUACGAGCGUUAUCCGGAUUUAUUGGGUUUAAAGGGAGCGUAGGUGGAUUGUUAAGUCAGUUGUGAAAGUUUGCGGCUCAACGGUAAAAUUGCCGUUGAAACUGGCAGUCUGGAGUACAGUAGAGGUGGGCGGAAUUCGUGGUGUAGCGGUGAAAUGCUUAGAUAUCACGAAGAACUCCGAUUGCGAAGGCAGUUCACUGGACUGCAACUGACGCUGAGGCUCGAAAGUGUGGGUAUCAAACAGGAUUAGAUACCCGAGUAGUC